RNAcentral lists this long non-coding RNA (226 nucleotides) under Elaeis guineensis (African oil palm). Its description in RNAcentral is "long non-coding RNA (EGUI_LNC029824)". Lineage: Eukaryota; Viridiplantae; Streptophyta; Magnoliopsida; Arecales; Arecaceae. The record is from RNAcentral.
GCAGCAGAGCGAGACCUGGUACUCCGACGGCCAUUUACGAUGGCAGGGUAGGCCCUUGCCCUCGAGCCGUGGAGGCCAGACUUCUUUCCUGUGGAAGGAGUGAUUUCAACAGCUUUGGUGUGGGUGUGCCUCCCUCGGCUUUCGACGGAGUACUGGGAUGCGGAAGCUAUCCGAAAGGUAUUGCGGCUCGCUAGCGAGCUGGCUUUCUUUGAUGAGUACACGAUGG